GCCACGUCAUCGAAAAGGUUAAUUACAAAUUAAUUACUUCGGUGGGAGCUUAUAAUUCCCAAUCAGUUCUAGCUCAAAAAUGCAUGACCUGUGGGCUAUGGUCACCCCAAAUAUGAGUUGAUCGGAAGUUCCGGCGAGUGUUUGUGUGUGUGUGCUGGUGCUCUUGGACAGAUCAAUGGAUAUGAAUGGAGGUGGAACUGGACUCCAGGAUGCAGUGCAUCAAGAUCCUGUCCAGUUCUAGCUAGAAAUGGAUGGUAUGGUCACUGGAAAAACAGUUGACCGGAAGUUCCAGCGAAGGAUUGUGUGCUUUUGGACAGAUCACUGGAUAAAUAUGGAUCGAUAUGAAGCUUUUGCAAAGAUUACUGGAUAUAUAUACGGAGGUGUCAUCAUUCAAGGCUCCAGAGCAUCGAAAAUGUCUUCAGAUUUUUUCAAAAACCCGAUUUUUAGUCCGGUUUUUCAGUCGUAGUUCAGCCAAAUAAAAACGUACAGCUAAAAGACCGACUGUUUUGAGCAGCUGGCUUCCUUUGCUAACGAUCCCUCUCACUUUAGGGAAAAUGCAUUUUUUGACCCAUUUUCGCAUUUUUUUUUGUAAUGGGGUGCAUCAGGAUUUUUUGGAAUUCAGAUUUUGGCGAAA
Drosophila biarmipes is the source of this 634-nucleotide long non-coding RNA. RefSeq lists it as uncharacterized. NCBI's taxonomy places the organism in Eukaryota, Metazoa, Arthropoda, Insecta, Diptera, Drosophilidae. The transcript is spliced from 3 exons. The record is from RefSeq and is a predicted model, not a curated record.